UACGUAGGGGGCAAGCGUUGUCCGGAUGUAUUGGGCGUAAAGAGCGUGUAGGCGGCCAGGUAGGUCCGCUGUGAAAACUCGAGGCUCAACCUCGAGAUGUCGGCGGAAACCAUCUGGCUAGAGUCCGGAAGAGGAGAGUGGAAUUCCUGGUGUAGCGGUGAAAUGCGCAGAUAUCAGGAAGAACACCCGUGGCGAAGGCGGCUCUCUGGGACGGUACUGACGCUGAGACGCGAAAGCGUGGGGAGCGAACAGG
This 253-nucleotide ribosomal RNA is filed under the name uncultured bacterium. RNAcentral's name for it is "partial 16S ribosomal RNA". It matches the Rfam family "Bacterial small subunit ribosomal RNA", at positions 524 to 776 of the family's 1533-position model. The record is from RNAcentral.